This 907-nucleotide ribosomal RNA is filed under the name uncultured archaeon. Its description in RNAcentral is "bacterial SSU rRNA". It matches the Rfam family "Archaeal small subunit ribosomal RNA", at positions 38 to 922 of the family's 1478-position model. The record is from RNAcentral.
GUGGGACUAAGACAUGCGAGUCGAGCGUCUCUAGUUAUGGUGAGACGCGGCAGACGGCUCAGUAACACGUGGCUAACCUACCCUCAGGACAGGGAUAAACCCGGGAAACUGGGGCUAAUACCUGAUAGGCGAGGGCACCUGGAAUGGUUCUUCACCCAAAGGGCUUUGCAAGCAUGCUUUUCAAAGUCGCCUGGGGAUGGGGCCGCGUCCGAUCAGGUUGUUGGUGAGGUAACGGCUCACCAAGCCUAUAACCGGUACGGGCCGUGAGAGCGGUAGCCCGGAGAUGGGCACUGAGACAAGGGCCCAGGCCCUACGGGGCGCAGCAGUCGCGAAAACUCCGCAAUGCACGAAAGUGUGACGGGGCUACCCCGAGUGCCGUCCGCUGAGGAUGGCUUUUUCUCGGUGUAACUAGCCGAGGGAAUAAGGAGAGGGCAAGACUGGUGUCAGCCGCCGCGGUAAUACCAGCUCUCCGAGUGGUAGGGAUGAUUAUUGGGCUUAAAGCGUCCGUAGCCGGCUUAGCAAGUCUCCUGUUAAAUUCAGCGACCUAAUCGUUGAGCCGCGGGAGAUACUACUAGGCUAGGAGGCGGGAGAGGUCGACGGUACUUCCGGGGUAGGGGUGAAAUCCUAUAAUCCCGGGAGGACCACCAGUGGCGAAGGCUGUCGACUAGAACGCGCUCGACGGUGAGGGACGAAAGCUGGGGGAGCGAACCGGAUUAGAUACCCGGGUAGUCCCAGCUGUAAACGAUGCGAGCUAGGUGUUGGGGUGGCUACGUGCCACUUCAGUGCCGCAGGGAAGCCAUUAAGCUCGCCGCCUGGGGAGUACGGCCGCAAGGCUGAAACUUAAAGGAAUUGGCGGGGGAGCACCACAAGGCGUGAAGCUUGCGGUUCAAUUGGAGUCAACGCCGGG